This is a small nucleolar RNA of Tachyglossus aculeatus (Australian echidna), 138 nucleotides long. NCBI's taxonomy places the organism in Eukaryota, Metazoa, Chordata, Mammalia, Monotremata, Tachyglossidae. The record is from RefSeq and is a predicted model, not a curated record.
CCCAUCUCAGGGUUGGAUCUGGAGAGUUUCCAGUACUCUACCAGUUUUCACUAUGGGAGGGAGAGUCAAGCAGAGGCAUAUCCAUUCCAUUCCUAGCUUGGGCAUCAACUAGCCAGUGGAAGACAAUCUGCUACAAGU